CAGGAUGUGGCGCAGUGGUAGCGUACUCGCUUCGGAUGCGAGUGGUCGUAGGUUCAAAUCCUACCAUCCUGACCA
Molecule: transfer RNA, 75 nt
Filed under: compost metagenome
Description: tRNA-Pro
Rfam family: tRNA
About the family: Transfer RNA (tRNA) molecules are approximately 80 nucleotides in length.
Source: RNAcentral